This 273-nucleotide ribosomal RNA is filed under the name uncultured prokaryote. RNAcentral describes it as "partial 16S ribosomal RNA". It matches the Rfam family "Bacterial small subunit ribosomal RNA", at positions 524 to 796 of the family's 1533-position model. The record is from RNAcentral.
UACGGAGGGUGCAAGCGUUAAUCGGAAUUACUGGGCGUAAAGGGCGCGUAGGUGGCUUGGUAAGUCGGAUGUGAAAGCCCCGGGCUUAACCUGGGAACUGCAUUCGAUACUGCCUCGCUCGAGUACGGUAGAGGAGAGUGGAAUUCCCGGUGUAGCGGUGAAAUGCGUAGAUAUCGGGAGGAACAUCAGUGGCGAAGGCGGCUCUCUGGACCGAUACUGACACUGAGGCGCGAAAGCGUGGGGAGCAAACAGGAUUAGAAACCCCGGUAGUCC